GGCCUUAGUGUUGCCCGUUCCUUUCUCUUUGUGAUGAACGAGGUGUCAGAAAAGGCCCACAGUAAAUCUUCUCCUGAUGAUAAGCGAAGGCAGGACUCACUGACUCCUGACUGACUUCUGUCUCGAGAUGAACACUU
Small nucleolar RNA from Tachysurus fulvidraco (yellow catfish), 137 nucleotides. RefSeq annotates it as small nucleolar RNA SNORA13. Lineage: Eukaryota; Metazoa; Chordata; Actinopteri; Siluriformes; Bagridae. The record is from RefSeq and is a predicted model, not a curated record. The transcript has a single exon.